Molecule: ribosomal RNA, 459 nt
Filed under: uncultured bacterium
Lineage: Bacteria
Description: partial 16S ribosomal RNA
Rfam family: Bacterial small subunit ribosomal RNA
Source: RNAcentral
CCUACGGGAGGCAGCAGUGAGGAAUAUUGGUCAAUGGGCGGAAGCCUGAACCAGCCAAGUAGCGUGCGGGAUGAAGGCCCUACGGGUCGUAAACCGCUUUUGCACGGGGAUAACACCCUCCACGUGUGGCGGUCUGCAGGUACCGUGCGAAUAAGGGCCGGCUAAUUCCGUGCCCGCAGCCGCGGUAAUACGGAAGGCCCGAGCGUUAUCCGGAUUCAUUGGGGUUAAAGGGAGCGUAGGCGGGCGUUCAAGUCAGCGGUAAAAUUGCGGGGCUCAACCGCGCCCCGCAGUUGAAAAUGGCGGUAUUGAGUUGACGAGAGGUAGGCGGAAUUCGUGGUGUAGCGGUGAAAUGCAUAGAUAUCACGAAGAACCCCGAUUGCGAAGGCAGCCUGCCGGGGUGCGACUGACGCUGAGGCUCGAAGGUGCGGGUAUCAAACAGGAUUAGAUACCCGUGUAGUC